This 120-nucleotide ribosomal RNA is filed under the name uncultured bacterium. RNAcentral describes it as "partial 16S ribosomal RNA". It matches the Rfam family "Bacterial small subunit ribosomal RNA", at positions 28 to 144 of the family's 1533-position model. The record is from RNAcentral.
GACGAACGCUGGCGGCAUGCCUAAUACAUGCAAGUCGAGCGGAAUGAUGAGAGCUUGCUCUCUGAUUUUAGCGGCGGACGGGUGAGUAACACGUGGGCAACCUGCCCUACAGAUGGGGAU